UACGUAGGGGGCAAGCGUUGUCCGGAAUCAUUGGGCGUAAAGCGCGCGUAGGCGGCCCGGUAAGUCCGCUGUAAAAGUCCAGGGCUCAACCCUGGAAUGCCGGUGGAUACUGUCGGGCUAGAGUCCGGAAGAGGCGAGUGGAAUUCCUGGUGUAGCGGUGGAAUGCGCAGAUAUCAGGAAGAACACCAACGGCGAAGGCAGCUCGCUGGGACGGUACUGACGCUGAGACGCGAAAGCGUGGGGAGCGAACAGG
Molecule: ribosomal RNA, 253 nt
Filed under: uncultured bacterium
Lineage: Bacteria
Description: partial 16S ribosomal RNA
Rfam family: Bacterial small subunit ribosomal RNA
Source: RNAcentral